CCUCGCGGGCGCCGCUCCGUGAGUUGGGCCACACGUGUUGACGUCUGUUUUGCUCGUGGGCGUAUUCGUGCACCCUUCGCAUCGCGCGGGAUGCGAGCAGACUCGCGUACCCGCGCAUCUCCCAAGGCCACUGCCCCCGUCCCCCCGACUCCCACUCCCACUCUUCCCUUUCGCAUACACGGCCCAGCACGGGCAGACGUGACGCGCGCAAUGCAUGCCACGCUUCUGCGCCGUGCGAUACGCACGGUGGUGCCACCCCCAAAGGCCUCGCCGCUGUCCCGGUUUCUUCGCGAAAGUACGGCGCAGAGCGUACUCGAUGCGGACGACUCUACGAAGAUGACGAGUGAGCCCCUGCCCAGCUUGCUGCCGAAGGGGUCCUCGACGGAGAGCCACACCUUGCUCUCAUCAGUGCCGGUGGGCGUGUUUGAAGGCCUGAAUCGACAUGUCUGGGUGGAUAGUAAGCGCAGCUUCUGCCACCUCUGUCAGGAGACAGUGGGUAACGUCACAGUCCACAGCAGCGACCGCGAUCAUACCAGCAUGCUGUUUUUCCUGCUGCUCUACACGGCAUACCCGAGACACGACUUGUUGACCGAAGCGGCGCGAGCCCCAACAGCAGGAGAGAGGGCAGCCGUUGUGGUGAAAGAUGGGACCUGCGCCUCGCAAUCGUCUCCGCCGGCCGAGCACAGCAGAGUCGUGGGUGUGCCUCGGCCGAUGUCCGCCUCGAGAAACAAGGUCGGCCCGCUGUUCACCCCUAAGCAUGUCCUCAGCGGGGCGAAACGGCACUUUCCAUCUCUCUUCCGCUACGUCACGGACUGUCGCACCACGGACCGCCUACACGUCGUCGACGAUGCCGUGCGCCGUGCCGAGCUAGAGGCGCUCUUGCUGUACCUCGCGCACCCACCGCACCAGGCGCUCUCGCACGUUCUGCAAGGGCAAAGCCCGAACGGCUUCUGGUACAACGGCGAGCGCAUGUGGAAGGCGCACAUCAGCCGCAUCGUCGCACAACUGUACCCACCCAUGUCGGCUGGCAUGAUGACCAACUUCACCCAGAAGUGCUGGGGCCGCACUAACGGGGAACGGCUGUACGACGCACUCUGCCUGCACCGCAUAAAGGCCUACCACGGCUGGGGUCCCUUCGAGAGCAAGGAGCGCAAGGCCUUCUUUCUAAGGCAUCUAAUCUGGGAGCUGCUCUGUGUCGAGGUCCGCGACGAGGUGUCGGAGGAGGCGAAACUGUUGACGUCGCUGGCUCUUCGGCGGCUUGCGUUUGAGAUGGUGUUCUUGCAGUCAAUGGACUACAUGGAUCGAGUGCAGCGUGUGCACGAGCUGCUGGGCAGCCCCUCACUAGAGGAGCUCAAAAGUCUUAACGCGCUCUGACGUACACAUCCCGCAUGCACACACGCGCCACCGGAAAGCCUCGCGCUUCCGUGUGAUGGGGAAUGCUGCACAUGGCUCUGUCGUCGUCUUGGCCGUGCCGCGGGAUGAAGGAUGGGAGGGUGAGCGAGCGAGCGACGCCGGCGCAGGCGAGGUCAGCGUAUGGCUGUUUUGCAAGCUGCAGUGAGUGUAGGCACGACCCCGCCCGCAACUCCUUCCCAACACCAUCCUGUGGCCCCCCUCCCCUCCCCUCCCCUCCCGCUUGCCGUCAUCUGUACUCUGUUACCGCGCCGUCGCUCGUGUUUGGUGCACCGUUAUCACUCUGUGUGCACUUCGUUACAGACUUACGCCCCUCCUCCCCCUCCUGCGAUGCCGAUGUGCCUGCGCCGUAGUGCGAUGCAAGCGUAUCGUUGAAACGAAGAGGGGAUUCAAUCGGGCCUAUGUUAGUGACCGCUGGCGAGGGUGUGGGCGCCUUGUGGCACCGAGCCGCCGACUGCCCCAGAGGAAG
Molecule: unclassified non-coding RNA, 1879 nt
Filed under: Leishmania donovani
Lineage: Eukaryota; Euglenozoa; Kinetoplastea; Trypanosomatida; Trypanosomatidae
Description: gene:LdHU3.16.0410(CDS-product:hypothetical_prote in_conserved)
Source: RNAcentral